GCCGGCGUGGUGAAAUGGCAGACACGGUAGACUCAAAAUCUACUGACCGCGAGGUCAUAUCGGUUCAAGUCCGAUCGCCGGUA
RNAcentral lists this transfer RNA (83 nucleotides) under Treponema sp. RNAcentral's name for it is "tRNA-Leu". It matches the Rfam family "tRNA". Rfam says of the family: Transfer RNA (tRNA) molecules are approximately 80 nucleotides in length. The record is from RNAcentral. RNAcentral also lists the same sequence under 1 other name. Lineage: Bacteria; Pseudomonadati; Spirochaetota; Spirochaetia; Treponematales; Treponemataceae.